This 207-nucleotide ribosomal RNA is filed under the name uncultured bacterium. RNAcentral describes it as "partial 16S ribosomal RNA". It matches the Rfam family "Bacterial small subunit ribosomal RNA", at positions 568 to 774 of the family's 1533-position model. The record is from RNAcentral.
CGUGUAGGCGGCUUAUUAAGCCAGAUGUGAAAGCCCACGGCUUAACCGUGGAACUGCAUUUGAUACUGAUAGGCUUGAGUAUGAGAAGGGGUAGUGGAAUUCCCAGUGUAGCGGUGAAAUGCGUAGAUAUUGGGAAGAACACCAGUAGCGAAGGCGACUACCUGGCUCAUUACUGACGCUAAUGCGCGAAAGCGCGGGGAGCAAACA